This 465-nucleotide ribosomal RNA is filed under the name Vreelandella stevensii. RNAcentral describes it as "partial 16S ribosomal RNA". It matches the Rfam family "Bacterial small subunit ribosomal RNA", at positions 338 to 795 of the family's 1533-position model. The record is from RNAcentral. Lineage: Bacteria; Pseudomonadati; Pseudomonadota; Gammaproteobacteria; Oceanospirillales; Halomonadaceae.
CCUACGGGAGGCUGCAGUGGGGAAUAUUGGACAAUGGGCGAAAGCCUGAUCCAGCCAUGCCGCGUGUGUGAAGAAGGCCUUCGGGUUGUAAAGCACUUUCAGUGGGGAAGAAAGCCUUGGGGCUAAUACCCUCGAGGAAGGACAUCACCCACAGAAGAAGCACCGGCUAACUCCGUGCCAGCAGCCGCGGUAAUACGGAGGGUGCGAGCGUUAAUCGGAAUUACUGGGCGUAAAGCGCGCGUAGGCGGUCUGAUAAGCCGGUUGUGAAAGCCCCGGGCUCAACCUGGGAACGGCAUCCGGAACUGUCAGGCUAGAGUGCAGGAGAGGAAGGUAGAAUUCCCGGUGUAGCGGUGAAAUGCGUAGAGAUCGGGAGGAAUACCAGUGGCGAAGGCGGCCUUCUGGACUGACACUGACGCUGAGGUGCGAAAGCGUGGAUAGCAAACAGGAUUAGAUACCCCGGUAGUC